AGUGAACGCUGGCGGUAGGCCUAACACAUGCAAGUCGAACGGCAGCACAGUAAGAGCUUGCUCUUACGGGUGGCGAGUGGCGGACGGGUGAGGAAUAUAUCGGAAUCUACUUUUUCGUGGGGGAUAACGUAGGGAAACUUACGCUAAUACUGCAUACGACCUACGGGUGAAAGCAGGGGAUCUUUGGACCUUGUGCGGAUGAAUGAGCCUAUGUCGGAUUAGCUAGUUGGCGGGGUAAAGGCCCACCAAGGCGACGAUCCGUAGCUGGUCAGAGAGGAUGAUCGGCCACACUGGAACUGAGACACGGUCCAGACUCCUGCGGGAGGCAGCAGUGGGGAAUAUUGGACAAUGGGCGCAAGCCUGAUCCAGCCAUACCGCGUGGGUGAAGAAGGCCUUCGGGUUGUAAAGCCCUUUUGUUGGGAAAGAAAAGCAGCAGGUUAAUACCCCGCUGUUCUGACGGUACCCAAAGAAUAAGCACCGGCUAACUUCGUG
This 492-nucleotide ribosomal RNA is filed under the name uncultured bacterium. RNAcentral describes it as "partial 16S ribosomal RNA". It matches the Rfam family "Bacterial small subunit ribosomal RNA", at positions 29 to 507 of the family's 1533-position model. The record is from RNAcentral.